This 82-nucleotide ribosomal RNA is filed under the name Paenibacillus arenosi. RNAcentral describes it as "Paenibacillus sp. CAU 1523 partial 16S ribosomal RNA". It matches the Rfam family "Bacterial small subunit ribosomal RNA", at positions 1 to 82 of the family's 1533-position model. Lineage: Bacteria; Bacillati; Bacillota; Bacilli; Caryophanales; Paenibacillaceae. The record is from RNAcentral.
UUUAUGGAGAGUUUGAUCCUGGCUCAGGACGAACGCUGGCGGCGUGCCUAAUACAUGCAAGUCGAGCGGACUCUUACACUUU